GCCAUGGGGUGUAGAUUGGCCUGAGCAAAUGUGGUGCCGGUGGAACGAAAGCUUUAGGAGGAGUUAGCCACAUUCCAAUGUGUGCGAAUCGAUCAAAAAUGCGUAAUAGCCCUUUAACCGUACAUUUUACAGAUACGUGCGCAUUGACUUUUUCGUAGAUCUUAUUGAGAUACACGUGAUUGUCAAAUUUUGUUUCAAUAUGACAAAGCGUACAGGCGUGACACUCAACAAUGUGUAUUUUCACCUUAUGGGACAAGAAAAAAUGGACUUUUUUCUCCUGCCAUGGGGGGGCGCUCUUUUGGGGAGUAAAAAUUCCUUCACAAAUGUGUUGAUGGCUGGACAUUGCAUCAUCCUAGAAAACUUGGAGGCCAGUGAGGACAAAAAUAAAAAGUUAUAAGACUUUUAAGACUGUGGAUUUUUGGGUUAUCUUUGGCGCCCCCUAGAACGUAAACCGUGGGGUGCAGCGUCAUGAUUUGUACAACUUUUAAUGGCCAUGGGGUGUAGAUUGGCCUGAGCAAAUUUGGUGCCGGUGGAACGAAAGCCUUCAGAGGAGUUAGCGAAAUUCCAAUGUGUGCGGUUCCGCAAAAAAUGCGAAAUAGCCCUUUAACCGUACAUUUGACAGAUACGUGCGCAUAGACUUUUUUGUAGAUCUUAUUGAGAUACACGUGUGUGUCAAAUUUUAUGUCAAUAUGACAAAGCGUAUAGGCGUGACACUCAACAAUAUGUAUUUUCACCUUAGGGGACAAGAAAAAAUGGACUUUUUUCUCCUGCCAUGGGGGGGCGCUCUUUUGGGGAGUAAAAAUUCCUUCACAAAUGUGUUGAUGGCUGGACAUUGCAUCAUCCUAGAAAACUUGGAGGCCAGUGAGGACAAAAAUAAAAAGUUAUUAGACUUUUAAGAAUGUGGAUUUUUGGGUUAUCUUUGGCGCCCCCUAGAACGUAAACCGUGGGGUGCAGUGUCAUGAUUUGUACAACUUUUAAUGGCCAUGGGGUGUAGAUUGGCCUGAGCAAAUGUGGUGCCGGUGGAACGAAAGCCUUCGGAGGAGUUAGCGAAAUUCCACUGUGUGCGGAUCGGCAAAAAAUGCGAAAUAGCCCUUUAACCGUACAUUUGACAGAUACGCCCGCGCUGACUUUUUUGUAGAUCUUAUUGAGAUACACGUGUGUGUCAAAUUUUGUGUCAUUUUGACAAAGCGUACAGGUGUGACACUCAAUCAUGUGAAUUUUUCACCUUAGGGGGCGCUAUGGAGCCAUUUUGCAUUUGAUUGUUUGGGCGACUUCAGAAUAUCGAAUUUUUCACCAGGCCCGGUCGUCCUGCCAAAUUUCAUGAGUUUUCACCAGUGGGAAGUGGGCCAUUUUCCAGUUCAAAGGGGCAGAAAAAUAAUAAGACUAGGGCCCCGUUGGGGCACUGGCGGGCCCGAGCCGUGUCGCGCUGCCCCCAACACGACCGCCUCUCCCUACCGAUCGCGUCACACUCAAGGUCCAAAGAUGGUGUGCGCACUUGUCUGUGGUCAUUUACAAUUAUAAUGAAUGGGAGGCGCAGUUUCUACCAAAACGCUCGCCGCAGACAAACUCCAUGUCCUAUUUGAAAAGGACUGGACCAUGAGUGAGGGCACAAACACAGCUAGGAUAUAUCCAAAUGGCAAGUUGCUCCUCCUUUCGCUUUUGCCGAGAGAGCGAUGCGAUUGAGCCAUUGAGCGAUGGGCAGGAAAAACUUGACUUUUUCUCCUGCCAUGGGGGGAGGGGGGGGGGUGUGGAUUCUUUUAAGAAUGUGGAUAUUUGGGUCAUCUUUGGCACCCCCUAGAACGUAAACCGUGGGGUGCAGCGUCAUGAUUUUUACAACUUUGAAUGGCCAUGGGGUGUAGAUUGGCCUGAGCAAAUUUGGUGUCAGUGGGACGAAAGCCUUAGGAGGAGUUAGCCACAUUCCAAUGUGUGCGAAUCGGCAAAAAAUGCAAAAUAGCCCUUUAACCGUACAUUUUACAGAUAUUUGCGCAUGACUUUUUCAUAGAUCUUAUUGAGAUACACGUGAUUGUCAAAUUUUGUGUCAUUUUGACAAAGCGUACAGGCGUGACACUCAACAAUGUGUAUUUUCACCUUAUGGGACAAGAAAAAAUGGACUUUUUUCUCCUGCCAUGGGGGGGCGCUCUUUUGGGGAGUAAAAAUUCCUUCACAAAUGUGUUGAUGGCUGGACAUUGCAUCAUCCUAGAAAACUUGGAGGCCAGUGAGGACAAAAAUAAAAAGUUAUAAGACUUUUAAGACUGUGGAUUUUUGGGUUAUCUUUGGCGCCCCCUAGAACCUAAACCGUGGGGUGCAGCGUCAUGAUUUGUACAACUUUGAAUGGCCAUGGGGUGUAGAUUGUCCUGAGCAAAUUUGUUGCCGGUGGAACGAAAGCCUUCGGAGGAGUUAGCGAAAUUCCAAUGUGUGCGGAUCGGCAAAAAAUGCGAAAUAGCCCUUUAACCGUACAUUAUACACAUACGCGCUCUUUGACUUUUUCGUAGAUCUUAUUGAGAUACACGUGUGUGUCAAAUUUUGUGUCAAUAUGACAAAGCGUUCAGGCAUGACACUCAACAAUGUGUAUUUUCACCUUAGGGGACAAGAAAAAAUGGACUUUUUUCUCCUGCCAUGGGGGGGCGCUCUUUUGGGGAGUAAAAAUUUCUUCACAAAUGUGUUGAUGGCUGGACAUUGCAUCAUCCUAGAAAACUUGGAGGCCAGUGAGGACAAAAAUAAAAAGUUAUAAGACUUUUAAGACUGUGGAUUUUUGGGUUAUCUUUGGCGCCCCCUAGAACCUAAACCGUGGGGUGCAGCGUCAUGAUUUGUACAACUUUUAAUGGCCAUGGGGUGUAGAUUGUCCUGAGCAAAUUUGUUGCCGGUGGAACGAAAGCCUUCGGAGGAGUUAGCGAAAUUCCAAUGUGUGCGGAUCGGCAAAAAAUGCGAAAUAGCCCUUUAACCGUACAUUUGACAGAUACGCCCGCACUGACUUUUUUGUAGAUCUUAUUGAGAUACACAUGUGUGUCAAAUUUUGUGUCAUUUUGACAAAGCGUACAGGCGUCAGGUGAGUUUUCACCAUAGGGGGCGCUAUGGAGCCAUUUUUCAUUUUUUUGUUUGGGCGACUUCAGAAUAUCGAAUUUUUCACCAGGCCCGGUCGUCCUGCCAAAUUUCCUGAGUUUUCGCCAGUGGGAAGUGGGCCAUUUUCCAGUUUAAAGCGGAGGAAAAAUAACGAAAGAAGAAUCCAUCAGGAACAAGAGGGCUCUCGCAGCUGCUUAGCAGCUAUGCUCGGGCCCUAACUAGGACCCCGUUGGGGCACUGGCGGGCCCGAGCUGUGUCGCGUCCCCCCCCAACGCGCUGCCUCCCCGUCCCAUUUGUGUCCUCUGGCCAUCGCCCUCUCUGGUAACGCCCAUCACUGCAAAGACCCUUUUCCUUCAUCGGCGUUUGCUGUUCUUCCUGCCAGUGCGUGUUGCUUUCACUUACACUUGCCACAGCCAGCCUCUUGAGUGCCUAGCCUAUUGGAUAUCACUGUCACCUACUCAGGACAGUCAUUACCUUUCUAUUAAUACUUUGUUUUUUAAUUUCACAUUAAUUUCCAUAUUGUAUAAACAACUGGAAAAAACUUGAGCCCCUGCCCCUGUAUAAUCAUGUGCACGUCUCUGUUCUAGCUCUAAGGUGAAUCUUCACUGCUCAUGUUCUCCUCAGAAGCAGUCACCUCACUCCCCUCAGGUUACUGUACACAUGCACCAACUGCCUGCUUCAGGUUUGGAUGGAGCUUCAUGGUUGUCUUUUGGAGAAAUGACCAGUCAAGUUGUGUUUGAAAUUUGAUUUUUUUCAGGGGCAAAAGGAGCCUCUGCAUUCUUGUCAAAUAUGUAAAUAGCAUGUUUUUGCAGGUGCUAAAAACCAGACUCUGAGUGUGUGUGUGUGCGUGUGUGUGUGUGUGUGUGUGUGUGUGUGUGUGCGUUCAAGUCACAUGACAUAUUUAACCGGAUGUAGCUGCAAGACGGAGCCUCGUUGACUCCGUUUCAACUUAUCUCAAAAGUGAGGACCUCAACCUAUAUACCAGUUUUUAAAUUGUGUUGAUAGGCCAAAUAAAACCAGAGUUAUGAUAAAUUAUGUCCGCGAUACUUGUUUUCUGCUUAUUUUGAUCACGUUCGGCGCUCGAUCGCGCUGUAUGAGACAGGAAAACAUAGCAUGCAGACAUUAGCGACAGGUCUUACAGGCGGAAAAGGCUUGCCAAAGGAAAAAAAAAACACACCACAACAUCUCUCCUAUUGGUGGAAAACUUCACCACAACAACCAAUCCAAAAUUAUAUGGUGACUGAUUGACAAGGGGCGGGCGCUUACGUUCUUCCUGCAAUAUGAGAAGGGAGGGAGGGACUCUCAGCAGGGAUGCAGUCUGGGACACGUAGUUGCAAACCUAGCGACUUUGUUGUUAGAUUCAAUGACUUUUCAGACCCCCUAACAACUUUUUUUUUAGAAAGAAAGUGACUUUUAUCGACUUCUUCUGGAGUUUAGAGACUCUGACAUGAAGCAGGCUUUCCUUACUGAGGAGUUAGCAACGCUGCUAAGGGUGCAGAGCCACACAUGCGCUCCGAGCUCUGCAUGGGAGACUGAAGCUGACAGAGCUGCAGCAGUUAGCAGGUUUCACCCUCAGAGACCACCAGGGGUUCAUGUUGAGGCAUUUUCAGUUUUUUUUUUUUUUUUGCCAUAGACACUGUCAGCACAAUCUGCAGUUACACUAACAAAAAUGCUGCAAAAAACAAAGAAUUAUGGAAAAAUUACACAUGGACUAACAUAGAGGAGGAUCUACACAAGUUUUUUACAUCAUGUUUUACAUCAUGCAUCAUUUACAUCAUGUUUUUUUGUAGUGGCAUAAAUAAAAAGUGACAUUUGUGAGACUAUACAGUGUUUUGUAAAUAAUUUUACAAAGAACACCUGGGCCAUUGCCUGCAUUUUGAUGUAAAUAGAGGUAAAUUACUAUGUUCUUUGUUAAAAAUUUGCAUAUGUUUUGAAGUUUACAAUUUUAAUUUGAAGUUUAAGUUUUAAAAACAGUUCAUCACACAUAUUUGUGGUUUUCACAGUAAAAACGUUACUUUUUUCCACUCGGAUUUUAUGUUUUGUGUGUGAAUUUGGGUCCAAUGUGUAAAUAUAGUAUGUCAAAAUGAUAAAAUAACUGUAAAUUGACACAGGUGAGGUUGUGCUGAAAAAAAUGAUACCAGGCAAGGCAAGGUAAAAAUUUUGUAAGAGGAAAUAUAAAGGUAAAAUCUAAAGUAGUCAAAAACGGCCAAUAGUGACUCACAGACUCCACAGACAAGUCCCUUUGGCGCCACUCAGUGGGCAAAACUACUUUGUCUACUGUAAUGUAUAUUUGGGUCAUCUUUGGCGCCCCCUAAAACGUAAACCGUGGGGUGCAGCGUCAUGAUUUUUACAACUUUGAAUGGCCAUGGAGUGUAGAUUGGCCUGAGCAAAUUUGGUGUCAGUGGGACGAAAGCCUUAGGAGGAGUUAGCGAAAUUCCAAUGUGUGCGAAUCGGCAAAAAAUGCAAAAUAGCCCUUUUACCGUACAUUAUACAGAUACGCGCUCUUUGACUUUUUCGUAGAUCUAAUUGAGAUACACAUGAUUGUCAAUUUUUGUGUCAUUUUGACAAAGCGUACAGGCGUGACAGUCAACAAUGUGUAUUUUCACCUUAGGGGACAAGAAAAAAUGGACUUUUUUCUCCUGCCAUGGGGGGGCGCUCUUUUAGGGAGUAAAAAUUCCUUCACAAAUGUGUUGAUGGCUGGACAUUGCAUCAUCCUAGAAAACUUGGAGGCCAGUGAGGACAAAAAUAAAAAGUUAUAAGACUUUUAAAAAUGUGGAUUUUUGGGUUAUCUUUGGCGCCCCCUAGAACGUAAACCGUGGGGUGCAGCGUCAUGAUUUGAAUAACUUUUAAUGGCCAUGGGGUGUAGAUUGGCCUGAGCAAAUGUGGUGCCGGUGGAACGAAAGCCUUCGGAGGAGUUAGCGAAAUUCCAAUGUGUGCGAAUCGGCAAAAAAUGCGGAAUAACCCUUUAACCGUACAUUUGACAGAUACGCGCGCAUGGACUUU
Molecule: non-coding RNA, 6063 nt
Organism: Xyrichtys novacula (pearly razorfish)
Lineage: Eukaryota; Metazoa; Chordata; Actinopteri; Labriformes; Labridae
Source: the annotation of a GenBank genome assembly